AAUACUUAGGAAUCUGCCCAUUAAUGGGGGACAACAGUUGGAAACGACUGCUAAUACCGCAUACGCCCUACGGGGGAAAGCAGGGGAUCUUCGGACCUUGCGUUAAUGGAUGAGCCUAAGUCGGAUUAGCUAGUUGGUGGGGUAAAGGCCUACCAAGGCGACGAUCUGUAGCGGGUCUGAGAGGAUGAUCCGCCACACUGGGACUGAGACACGGCCCAGACUCCUACGGGAGGCAGCAGUGGGGAAUAUUGGACAAUGGGCGGAAGCCUGAUCCAGCCAUGCCGCGUGUGUGAAGAAGGCCUUUUGGUUGUAAAGCACUUUAGGCGAGGAGGAAGCUACUAGUAUUAAUACUACUGGAUAGUGGACGUUACUCGCAGAAUAAGCACCGGCUAACUCUGUGCCAGCAGCCGCGGUAAUACAGAGGGUGCGAGCGUUAAUCGGAUUUACUGGGCGUAAAGCGUACGUAGGUGGUCUUUUAAGUCGGAUGUGAAAUCCCUGAGCUUAACUUAGGAAUUGCAUUCGAUACUGGGAGACUAGAGUAUGGGAGAGGAUGGUAGAAUUCCAGGUGUAGCGGUGAAAUGCGUAGAGAUCUGGAGG
RNAcentral lists this ribosomal RNA (597 nucleotides) under uncultured bacterium. Its description in RNAcentral is "bacterial SSU rRNA". It matches the Rfam family "Bacterial small subunit ribosomal RNA", at positions 112 to 704 of the family's 1533-position model. The record is from RNAcentral.